Non-coding RNA from Araneus ventricosus, 76 nucleotides. Lineage: Eukaryota; Metazoa; Arthropoda; Arachnida; Araneae; Araneidae. The record is from the annotation of a GenBank genome assembly.
GACUUCUGGUGGCGCAAUGGUAGCGCCGAUCUGACUCCAGAUCAGAAGGCUGCGUGUUCAAAUCACGUCCGGGUCA